RNAcentral lists this ribosomal RNA (491 nucleotides) under uncultured bacterium. RNAcentral describes it as "partial 16S ribosomal RNA". It matches the Rfam family "Bacterial small subunit ribosomal RNA", at positions 30 to 506 of the family's 1533-position model. The record is from RNAcentral.
AGUGAACGCUGGCGGUAGGCCUAACACAUGCAAGUCGAACGGCAGCACAGUAAGAGCUUGCUCUUACGGGUGGCGAGUGGCGGACGGGUGAGGAAUACAUCGGAAUCUACUUUUUCGUGGGGGAUAACGUAGGGAAACUUACGCUAAUACCGCAUACGACCUACGGGUGAAAGCAGGGGAUCUUCGGACCUUGCGCGAUUGAAUGAGCCGAUGUCGGAUUAGCUAGUUGGCGGGGUAAAGGCCCACCAAGGCGACGAUCCGUAGCUGGUCUGAGAGGAUGAUCAGGCAAACUGAAAGUGAGAGAGGAUCCGGACUCAUGCGGAAGGCAGGAGGGGGGAAGGUUGGACAGUGGGCGGAAGCCUGCUGCAGCCAGACAGGGAGGGUGAAGAAGGCCUGGGGGUUGUAAAGCCAUUUUGUUGGGAAAGAAAAGCAGCAGGUUAAUACGCGGCUGUUCGGACGGACCCCAAAAAGAAGGCACGGGCAAACUUCGG